Molecule: long non-coding RNA, 914 nt
Organism: Ixodes scapularis (black-legged tick)
Lineage: Eukaryota; Metazoa; Arthropoda; Arachnida; Ixodida; Ixodidae
Exons: 8
Source: RefSeq, a predicted model, not a curated record
UGUCUUUUAUUUUUACGUAGAACUCAUAUCGAUCCGAUAUGCCGCGUCCGAGAAUGGAUUUUGCGACUAAUAAGUGGCGAGGCACCACGCGAGCAAGAAUGAACAGCCCUGGAGGUUAUGGGCACUGCUCAAUUGGCUCAUUCCUCGGUGCUUCUCGAAGAAAUUAUCCCGAAUUUGGUGUCCCCAAACUUGGAAGGCCUGGUCAAGGAGGAGUUGCUCAGUGAACUACUAGUUUGAGUUCCCUGAGACGGACACCACUGACAUCACCUACAGUGCUGAGGUACAGGCUUAAUGGCAGAUAUCAAUAGGAGAUGAUGGUACGCGUCACGUCUGUUUGAUUGGACAGCCACCAAGUUGACUUGGAUGUCAGCGCCUGUUGUCAUCAGAACCUGGUUCUUGUGCUGCCACAUCAUUUUUGGUGGUGGCGCUGUUGUCACCUCCCAACGCUUGCGCUCCCCGAGUUCCCAUUCAAGAUGGUGCUGCCACGGACUUUGGCUCGUGGGGGUGCCGUCGCUACUGACAAAGCCUGUGCUCCCCGUCGUCCCUGUUGAAAUGGUGGCUGGAACUUGAGAGGGUUUGCUGCCACAGCCGGAUCCAGUGUUACAUUCCUGUGGCUUUUUGGGUUGUUUCCCAAUUAUUGAAGGGAGUUGCAGGCUUAUCAUGGGCGACACAGUGCUUUGCUCGCACCUUCACGGAGUACAGCAAUGUGGGGAAGCAAGUCGAGGACAGCCUCUCUCGAUUUCUGUCCCGGGGGCGCUAUGCUCUUCCAGCUGACACCUUACAGACAUGUCAGGAAGCAAGGAAAGGUUAUUUUUUCACUCAUCGUUUACAUUUGGGUGAUUAACUUAGUCUUGAAAAAAAACACGUCAUUUUAAUGACAUUGUGAUAAAUAAAUUUUGGGUCUUUAAAUUGUC